GAUGAACGCUAGCUACAGGCUUAACACAUGCAAGUCGAGGGGCAGCAUAAAAUCAGCUUGCUGAUUUGAUGGCGACCGGCGCACGGGUGAGUAACACGUAUCCAACCUGGCCUUUACUCAGGGAUAGCCUUUCGAAAGAAAGAUUAAUACCUGAUGGCAUAAAUUGACCGCAUGGUUGAUUUAUUAAAGAUUUAUUGGUAAAGGAUGGGGAUGCGUUCCAUUAGCUUGUUGGUAAGGUAACGGCUUACCAAGGCAUCGAUGGAUAGGGGUUCUGAGAGGAAGGUCCCUCACACUGGAACUGAGACACGGCCCAGACUCCUACGGGAGGCAGCAGUGGGGAAUAUUGCACAAUGGGGGAAACCCUGAUGCAGCGACGCCGCGUGAGUGAAGACGGUCUUCGGAUUGUAAAGCUCUGUUGUAGGGGACGAUAAUGACGGUACCCUACUAGAAAGCCACGGCUAACUACGUGCCAGCCGCCGCAGUAAAAC
This 488-nucleotide ribosomal RNA is filed under the name uncultured bacterium. RNAcentral describes it as "bacterial SSU rRNA". It matches the Rfam family "Bacterial small subunit ribosomal RNA", at positions 28 to 526 of the family's 1533-position model. The record is from RNAcentral.